This is a long non-coding RNA of Ananas comosus (pineapple), 2622 nucleotides long. RefSeq lists it as uncharacterized. The transcript has 4 exons. NCBI's taxonomy places the organism in Eukaryota, Viridiplantae, Streptophyta, Magnoliopsida, Poales, Bromeliaceae. The record is from RefSeq and is a predicted model, not a curated record.
AUCCGGGAAAAAUAGUGAAUCCGAAUCUAAAUCGAAGAUCCAAAAAAGAAAAAAAAUCUAAGUCGAAAUCCAAAUCCAAAUCCCAAUUGGGUACUAAAAUUACAAUCUCUUUUUCAGAUUUGAUAUGGGUUCGGGUCGGAUAUUAAUCGAUCCAUCAAAGUGUAAAGCUCACACAAAAGGUGAAACGCUCGCGGGGGUUUCAAUUCCAGCAAGAGUAGAAUACAGUGUAGAAUGCAAAUUUUAGUUCAUGAUAGAUUACAAUUUCAAAUUAAAAUAACAUAUUUUUUGUACUCCCAUGAAAGGGGUAAAAUAUUUUUUCUAAAAUAUACUAUUUAUUCCGGAGGAAGAGAAAAUGUAGAAAAAGAGAAAAAAAAGAAAAGAAAAGAGAAAUCGCAAUCUCUCUCCCUCAGUCUCUACUGGUCUACUGGAAGAGAAAUGGAGCUUUUUAGACGGGAAAAGAAGAAAAUGGUACCAAAUAUGAGGGCAAUUACAGUGGUGAAGAAAAUUCUGGUGGCAGUGUACGAAGGAUUACGCCAGUAAGAUUUGUGCUGCUUCCACAGGCAAGCCAUGCAUUGCGUGAGGAAUGGCUGCGAGUAUUUGGUUGGGAAGAAAAGGUCUUUUGAACCUGGGGGAGGGUUACUUAGUUCACUGAUCAAAGCUUUGUUUCUCCUGCAGCAAUAAGUGAUUAUUAGUUUAGGCAAUGAAUUGAUACUGGCGAUUAUCAGUCAUGAAGAAUGCGCAUUAUUACCUGUAGAGAUCAGAAUUUCUGUAUAUUUCUGCAAAGUUAAUCCCCAAAAUUUCUUCCUGGGCCAGGGUAGUCACCUCUAACAUCCACGUUGCUGGGUUGUACCCAUCCUUUAUUCUUUUUACUCCUUCAAUUCCCUGGAUUUAGCAGUGCAAUUAAUGCCGAUGAUAUGAGUAUUAACGUCAUCGCAUUAAAUAAGAAAGAAACCAGUUCAAUAGUUUUGUUAUAUAAGUUAUCCCUACCUCAAAGUAGUUGAUCAGAUGGCAUGAAUUACGCCCUACGGGCCCAACAUAUAUUUCUUCUCCUCCUCUUUUCAUUAGGAAUAGCUGCAAUGGUGCAAGAAAAGAAAUAUGAGUACCAGUAUGAACAUGCUAAGGUAUCUUGAAAUUCUUUUCUCAAUUACAGUGGCCCACCUCGUCGAAAGCUUCAAAGAUGUCGAUGCUGGGCUGGUGGAUUGUACAUACAACUGUUCUGCCUGUAUCAACAGUGUUUCUCACGGUUCUCAUUACAAUUGCAGCUGCCCUUGCAUCUAAUCCGGAAGUUGGUUCAUCCAUGAAUAUGAUCGAUGGAUUAGCAACAAGCUCAACAGCAAUUGUGAGCCUCUUUCUCUGUUCAGUUGAUAAGCCAUUUACUCCGGGCAAUCCAACUAGUGCGCCCCUCAGAGAAAGUCAACUUCAGUGGGUAGGCGAAGCCACGCGGAGUAAAGAAGGGAUUCAUAGACUGUGACAUGUGGGGAGUGAAUAUCAUUUUGUUCACAAUAUCCUGCGACCCGAGCAAAUGUUUCCUGUUUUUUGGGAUACCCAGAUAUGCAAAUAUUUCCUUCUAUAUAACCUCCAGUUUUCCGCCCUGCCAAUACAUCCAUUAGUGUUGUCUUUCCUGCUCCGCUUACUCCCAUUAAAGCUGUAAGAACUCCUGGCCUGAAGGCUCCACUGACUCCCUUUAGCAGUACUAGACGGUCAUCCAUCACACCUUUGUCUUUCAUUUCCUGCGAGGAAAGGUUUUCAUAUUUAUUUCUUAGCGUUUUAUAUUUUCACAAAAUAACAAAAGGAUAUUUGGUGAUUUUCGAGGUUACUAUACCUGAGGCAUGUCAACAGAGUAUUUAAUGUUGUCAAAGGUGAUUGAAAGAGGAGAAAAUGGAAGCACCAUUCCCUUUUUCUUGUUCUCAGCUGCAAUAAUUUGACCACCUCUUCCUACAUUUUAUGUCAAUUCAUCAGGAUGUCACGGACAGUUCUCUGAAAAUGGGAACUUUUUACAUUUAUCCCUGAAAAAUUAUCUGUUUGCAUAUGUAUCUCUGUAACAAUUUAAAAUGUAAGAAACUACGUUUUUGAAGGCAUACAUGAAGUUCAGACUUUGUAUGCAAAUAGAUAAUUUUGCAGAUUCAUAUAUGUAUUCUGAAUGAUGCUUGCUAAUUUUGCAGGUGCACAUAUGUAUUCCAAAUGAUGUUGCUUGAGAGUUGAGACUAACCUUCUGAUAAUACUGGCUUAGAAGAGUCAGCUCCGGCCGGUAUUAAACAAGAAAUUAGCACUAGAAGAUACAGAAUUUACAGCAACUGAAGGAUAUACAAUCGAUCAAGUGAAUACUCACGGUCAAGCCAGUCGAGGAAGAGAACAAAGAGGAUGUUGAAGAGGAAAAUAUAUCCAAGCAAUGCACCGACUCCAAUCCAAUACCAGUUAGAAUCCACAAAGAUCCCACGAGCUUUUAGUAUUUGGACUCCUAGUGUGUCAUUGCUUGCUGUUGCAUUGACAACCUACAAUAAAAUUAGUUAAUUUUAUUUUUUCUUUGGAAAAAAAACAAUCAUUUUUUAUUUUGCAAUUUGGAUUUUUUUUUGGGGCAACUUUGGACCAAAAUCUCAUUUAUAAACUGAUUUUCUUGCUCUC